Molecule: long non-coding RNA, 1602 nt
Filed under: Pongo abelii (Sumatran orangutan)
Lineage: Eukaryota; Metazoa; Chordata; Mammalia; Primates; Hominidae
Description: lincRNA
Source: RNAcentral
GCGAGGUGCGUUCCCCAGCCUGAUUUGCUCUGGGCUCUGACCCGCCGCCGCGAAUCUCCGCUCGUAACUCCGGGCCUGAACCCGGAGGAGGGAGGAUUUCCUCUGUGCAGCUUUCAAGCGGUAGACUCACCCUGCCAGGCAGACCUAGAUUGGCAUAACCAGAGAUUAAUUCCAGUUGUGAUGCAGUGGGUGUUUACACACUUCUGAUGACACCUUUAUUUUAAAAGCAGAUGUUCCAAGAGACGGGGUUUCACCGUGUUAGCCAGGAUGGUCUGGAUCUCCUGACCUCGUGAUCCGCCCGCCUCAGCCUCUCCAAGUGCUGGGAUCACAGGCAUGAGCCACCGCGCCCAGCCCUUGUAUUUUUAAACUUGACUUUAUAGAGACGAACACCAUCGUUUGCUGAACACUUGAAACGUGAUGAAAGAGCCACAGAGUUGGCAGAACUGUUUGAAAAUGCUGUGCAAGUGGUUCUUCUCUGUCUUCUUUCUAGCCAGUAAAAUUCUCCAGAAGAGGAGAUUUAUGGCAGCCUCACUCCCAGUAGUUUCUGCAUUUAGGGAGAUAAGGAAUGGAUUUUCUUCCGUGUCGCUGACACGAACAGGAGACAGAAAUACUGAGUAGAAGAGGGCGGUUCCCUGGCUAAGGCCCCACCCUCAAGCCUGGAUACCCGCGGCCCUAAAUGAGAAGAGGCAUUUCUGUUUGGGGCCCAAAAAGUUGCCUUUUGACCCGCCACGCCCCCUGUCCUGCCCCCAUAUAAACCCAAACCCCAACCUCCAGAGCAUACCAGCAGGUGAGGAGAUAGGAGGCAAGCCGACUGACGGCAAAACAACAACAACGUAGCAGAGACAGAGAGAAGAGGAGGGACGUCUGGACACCGAGAGAUGUUUGGCUGGGGGCAGUCAGAGCGGAGUCCAGCCCCUGGGAGGCCCAACUCCAGGGGAAGAUCACCUUCCCACUUCAUCCAUCCCCACCCUUCCAGCUCCCCAUCCAUCCUGCUGAAAGCCAUUUCCACCACUCAAUAAAACCUCGCAUUCAUCCUUUAAGUCCGUGUGUGACCCGAUUUUUCCUGGAUUCUGGAAAAGAGCUCAGAAUACAGAAAGCUGUCCUCUGGUCCUUUGCCCUUGUGAAAAAGCAGAAGGUCCAUUGAGCUGGUUAACACUCCAGCCAUCUGUGGUGGCCAAGCUGAAAGAGCUUUGUAACACUGGGGUUGCAGGCACCCACCUCUAGACGCUACCGCAGGGCCAGAGCCCAAAGCCCUCACCCCGGCCUCUGCACUUGCCCAUCUGCGUGCUCCACCUCUCGCAAGGGGUUUCAGCAGAGGGGGCUACUGAACAGGUGAGCCACACCCCGUCGCACGCCCUGCAAGGGGAAUCAGGGAACUCUUCCGUUUCAUUGCUUUGACCACAUCCUAUAAAUCUUGUUCUCCUUGUCUUUCAGCUCCAAUUUGUUUAUACAGUUUUUACUUUUGACUUUACUUAUGAUUUAUUAUAGAAAGAUGUUUAACAAUUUUCAAGCAAAUGGAAUAAUUUUUGCUCCCCUUUCGUUGUUAAUUUAUUAUUCAUUGGAGUUAGAAAAUUAUUGCUAAAAUAAAUUCUGCAUUUUGCA